This is a long non-coding RNA of Taeniopygia guttata (zebra finch), 423 nucleotides long. RefSeq lists it as uncharacterized. NCBI's taxonomy places the organism in Eukaryota, Metazoa, Chordata, Aves, Passeriformes, Estrildidae. The record is from RefSeq and is a predicted model, not a curated record.
AUUUUUUUUUCAGCAAUUUGAAGAGGUGAAGCUGAAUGAGGUGAGAAUGGUGUGAUACAUCCAGCUGGAGCAAUGCGUUCAGGUGUGUCAGUUCAGGGACAGAAGGAAUUAUCUCCUGUCACACAAGACACCUAAAAAUGCCACAAACUCUUGGCUCUGUAACAGGUUUCUCCAUGGUUAUUGAAAAUUUUGUGCCUGGGAUUCAGAGAGAAUUGGUCAAGAACCACAUACAUACAUACAUUUCUAAUCCAGGAAUCCAGAAAAUAUAAUGAAAACUUGGCAGAACCUGAAUUCAGUAGGAAUCAUUCCUGCUCUCCACCACUUUGCUGAAAAUCCCAGCAAAGCAUAUAAGGAGGAUUUAUGUACAGACCUAUAUAUAUUUACGUGUGCAUUGAAAAGAAAUAAAAUAUUGGUUUGGGUUGA